RNAcentral lists this ribosomal RNA (253 nucleotides) under uncultured bacterium. Its description in RNAcentral is "partial 16S ribosomal RNA". It matches the Rfam family "Bacterial small subunit ribosomal RNA", at positions 524 to 776 of the family's 1533-position model. The record is from RNAcentral.
UACGUAGGGGGCAAGCGUUGUCCGGAAUCAUUGGGCGUAAAGAGCGCGUAGGCGGUCCGGUAAGUCCGCUGUGGAAGUCAAGGGCUCAACCCUUGAAUGCCGGUGGAUACUGUCGGGCUAGAGUCCGGAAGAGGCGAGUGGAAUUCCUGGUGUAGCGGUGAAAUGCGCAGAUAUCAGGAGGAACACCAAUGGCGAAGGCAGCUCGCUGGGACGGUACUGACGCUGAGGCGCGAAAGCGUGGGGAGCAAACAGG